CGCAUUUUCCUAGGCAACUAACUGCUAAAUUCCAAGCGGUGGCUGAGGAAACAAAUAGAAGGUUGCUUGCAAAGUCCAAGCGGUGACCGAUCGAAAACAAGGAGAAGCUAUCUGCCAAUGUCUUUGGGCGGUGGCCGAGAGGAAAACAAAAACUUCAAAUCCUUUACUUUCCAACCCAACACCGAGAGUAAAACUGAGAGAGUGGGAGAGAAAGGUUAGCUAGCUACAUCACCAACUAACCAAAAACAAGGAGGAGUACAACGAGGAAAGCAGGAGAAGCUCGAGCUAGGACCUUGAGGAACCGAAUCAGGGAGAGCUAGAGCAGUCGGCAAUUUCAGAUUCUAAGCAGGAGGAUUUUGUAUACCUCCUGCUUAUUUAGUGUAAUUGAAUGUUUAAGCUGUGUAUAAACUUUAGCUAGGAAAAAAAUGAGUUCUUGGUUGGAAAAAGAAACUUUGUGCAGAACCGAAUGGCAGCUGGAAAGAAAAUUGCAGAAAUGGGGAAUGGAAACUAGAAAUCGUAGCUUGUUAUCAAUGUUUCUUUGGAGAAUAAUGAUAGGAAAUUCAUGUUAUGCAUUACCUUAAGUUUUAUAAGAAGUUUAAUCAGCUAAACAUGGGCUUUAUACGUUGGGUUAGCAACGAAAUGAGUUCUGGUUCAAGGAAAACAUUAUACAUCAGAUAUAGUAAUUAAGAGCAGAAAUGAGCUAUGGUUCUGUU
RNAcentral lists this long non-coding RNA (713 nucleotides) under Coffea arabica (coffee). Its description in RNAcentral is "long non-coding RNA (CARA_LNC007226)". The record is from RNAcentral. Lineage: Eukaryota; Viridiplantae; Streptophyta; Magnoliopsida; Gentianales; Rubiaceae.